UCCCGGCAGUUCUAGUCGCAUCCACUAUUAUUGGGUCUAAAACAUCCGUAGCUUGCUUACUAAGUUCCUUGUGAAAUCUCACGUCUCAAGCGUGAGGCUUGCGGGGAAUACUGGAAAGCUAGAGAUCGGUAGAUGUAAGAAGUACACUGGAGGUAGUGGUAAAAUACGUUAAUCUUCGGUGGACUAACAAUGAGCGAAGGCAUCUUACAAGGACGAAUCUGACAGUGAGGGAUGAAGGCCAGGGGCGCAAAAC
This 253-nucleotide ribosomal RNA is filed under the name uncultured archaeon. Its description in RNAcentral is "partial 16S ribosomal RNA". It matches the Rfam family "Archaeal small subunit ribosomal RNA", at positions 474 to 725 of the family's 1478-position model. The record is from RNAcentral.